Long non-coding RNA from Nicotiana tabacum (common tobacco), 831 nucleotides. RefSeq lists it as uncharacterized. NCBI's taxonomy places the organism in Eukaryota, Viridiplantae, Streptophyta, Magnoliopsida, Solanales, Solanaceae. The record is from RefSeq and is a predicted model, not a curated record.
GUCUUCCUCGUACACUCCCUCUGUAACGCCGCCCUUCUCCGCCGUCCGCCGCCGGCCGGAAAUCGUUGCCGGGGGCGAAGAAGCUCCAAUCCCUCCCAAAAAUACACCCUCAACUCGUCUUCUCCUCCUCUUUCCAAACCCCAUAUUAGUUUUUCUCGAAUCCCUGCCAAAGCCUUCAAAUCUUGGAUCGACAAACUCCGGCCACAACACAACUCCGUCCAAAUCACCCCAAAUUAACACCCCGUGCUCUCCUAGUUCUCCUCUACUAGAAUCUCCCACUGGUUUCCCUCAAAUAUCAGUCGAAUGGCUCGAAUAUUAGUUCAAAGUUGACCGAAAAUUCUAAUGUCUCUGAAAACUACCCAAUUGGUACUACACGGUCUCCUCAUUCCCUUCAUGAAGAAUUCGCUGUCAUUGAUGUUCAAUUCAUGCCUAAGAUGGUCAAAUUUUGAACCAAAGAAUUCGAGUCAAGCUGUACACAUUUUGAGAUUGUGUUGUUGUAGCUUCAUCUGUUGACAAAUGAAAUGAAAUUGAGGCUUGUGUUCUUAUGUGGAACUGCAGUUCAAAUAAUUCUGUUAUGUUUUGGAUGUCGUAAUUAAACUAGGACUUGUUAUGGUUUGUAUAAUGUGGGCUGGCUGAAACUAUUCGAUUUUGUUCAUUCAUUGAUAGUUGUAGUAUCAAAUAGUUUAAUAUCCUAGUUAGUUCGAUUUCGUUUUCAUUGGACGUUAGUCAUUUGAAAUCAAGUUGGGAAUCACAGGGUAUUUUGUAAUUGAAUUUCAAAUGUUGCCUGGCUGUCUCUUAUUUGUCAUGAUGUGAAUAAGGUCAUUGCACCUA